This 253-nucleotide ribosomal RNA is filed under the name uncultured bacterium. RNAcentral's name for it is "partial 16S ribosomal RNA". It matches the Rfam family "Bacterial small subunit ribosomal RNA", at positions 524 to 776 of the family's 1533-position model. The record is from RNAcentral.
UACGGGGGGGGCAAGCGUUGUUCGGAAUUACUGGGCGUAAAGGGCUCGUAGGUGGCCAACUAAGUCAGUUGUGAAAUCCCUCGGCUCAACCGAGGAAUGGCGUCUGAGACUGGAUGGCUUGAAUCCGGGAGAGGGAUGCGGAAUUCCAGGUGUAGCGGUGAAAUGCGUAGAUAUCUGGAGGAACACCGGUGGCGAAGGCGGCAUCCUGGACCGGUAUUGACACUGAGGAGCGAAAGCCAGGGGAGCAAACGGG